UGUCCUACGGGAGGCAGCAGUGGGGGAUAUUGCACAAUGGGGGAAACCCUGAUGCAGCGACGCCGCGUGGGCGAAGAAGUAUUUCGGUAUGUAAAGCCCUAUCAGCAGGGAAGAAGAAAUGACGGUACCUGAGUAAGAAGCACCGGCUAAAUACGUGCCAGCAGCCGCGGUAAUACGUAGGGGGCAAGCGUUAUCCGGAUUUACUGGGUGUAAAGGGAGCGUAGACGGCGCGGCAAGUCUGAAGUGAAAGGCAGGGGCUUAACCCCUGAACUGCUUUGGAAACUGCCAUGCUAGAGUGCUGGAGG
Molecule: ribosomal RNA, 305 nt
Filed under: uncultured bacterium
Lineage: Bacteria
Description: bacterial SSU rRNA
Rfam family: Bacterial small subunit ribosomal RNA
Source: RNAcentral